RNAcentral lists this non-coding RNA (659 nucleotides) under Carinigera octava. Lineage: Eukaryota; Metazoa; Mollusca; Gastropoda; Stylommatophora; Clausiliidae. The record is from RNAcentral.
GUCACUUUAAUUUGAUGAAAACAGUAAGCAUUAAACAUGUUUAAAUAUGGAAUUUUAUGAGUUUAGCCAUUCCAGUUUAAAAUAUUAAAUAAUAUAUGGAAAUAUAAUUUAGACAGUUUGUUAAAUUAGGUUUAUUAGGUGCCAGCAACCGCGGUCAUACCUAAUAAUUAAGUUUACAACAGAUAUUAAAUGAUUCAAAUUAACGUUAAUGAAUAUGAUAAUAUAUAGUGAAAUACUAUUUCAUAUUUGCUACUCUUAAAACUUAUAAGAAAGAGAUCCACAACUAAAACUAGGAUUAGAAACCCUACUAUUAUGGAUUAUUAAUUAUUUACUAAGAAGUAAAAUACAAAUUUUAAACUUAAAUGUUAUGGCGGCUAAUCAAAACAAUUAGGGGAACUUACCAUAUAAUUGAUAACCACCAAGCAUAAUUAUACUUACUAUAAUAAUUUGUAUACCGUUGUCUUCAUGAACCCCCCGAGGGGGUUCAUAAAAAUAUCACUUAUUCUAAGAUAAAUCAAGGUGCAGUCAACUUAGUAAGAAAUAAGGUGAGUUACAUUAAAAUAUUUUUUCGGAUUAUAUUAUGAAAUAAAUUAUUAAGACGGACUUAAAAGUACUAUUUAAAUUAACAAAUAUAUUAUGAAUAUGUGUUGCUUAGUGUA